AACGAACGCUGGCGGCAUGCCUAACACAUGCAAGUCGAACGAGACCUUCGGGUCGAGUGGCGAACGGGUGCGUAACGCGUGGGAACCUGCCCUUAGGUUCGGAAUAAAUCCCCGAAAGGGGUGCUAAUACCGGAUAAUGUCUUCGGACCAAAGAUUUAUAGCCUUUGGAUGGGCCCGCGUUGGAUUAGCUAGUUGGUAGGGUAAAAGCCUACCAAGGCGACGAUCCAUAGCUGGUCUGAGAGGAUGAUCAGCCACACUGGGACUGAGACACGGCCCAGACUCCGACGGGAGGCAGCAGUGGGGAAUAUUGGACAAUGGGCGAAAGCCUGAUCCAGCAAUGCCGCGUGAGUGAUGAAGGCCUUAGGUUGUAAAGCUCUUUUACCCGGGAUGAUAAUGACAGUACCGUGAGAAUAAGCUCCGGCUAACUCCGUG
Molecule: ribosomal RNA, 432 nt
Filed under: uncultured bacterium
Lineage: Bacteria
Description: partial 16S ribosomal RNA
Rfam family: Bacterial small subunit ribosomal RNA
Source: RNAcentral